CAAUAGCGUAUAUUAAAGUUGUUGCAGUUAAAAAGCUCGUAGUUGGAUUUCGGGACGGGCCAGUUGGUCCGCCGCAAGGUGUGCUACUGACUGGUCUGUUCUUCUUCGCAAAGACUGCGUGUGCUCUUCGUUGAGUGUGCGUAGGAUUUACGACGUUUACUUUGAAGAAAUUAGAGUGUUCAAAGCAGGCUAUCGCUUGAAUACAUGAGCAUGGAAUAAUGGAAUAGGACUUUGGUCCUAUUUUGUUGGUUUCUAGGACCGAAGUAAUGAUUAAGAGGGACAAUUGGGGGCAUCCGUAUUUCGUUGUCAGAGGUGAAAUUCUUGGAUUUACGAAAGACGAACAACUGCGAAAGCACUUGCCAAGAGUGUUUUCAUUAA
Molecule: ribosomal RNA, 378 nt
Filed under: uncultured eukaryote
Lineage: Eukaryota
Description: partial 18S ribosomal RNA
Rfam family: Eukaryotic small subunit ribosomal RNA
Source: RNAcentral